GUUGAAACGUCUAGACAGCAAGUUAAGGCGAUCAUUGGAGUGCUUCUUGUCGGAGUCUAUUCCAGUGAUGGAUCAUAUAUCUGCUUAAGCAUGCUCAGUGCAGCAUCACCUUGAAGUACAAAUAAAGCGUGAAGUGAGGGAGGUCCAACCUCUUCUUUCAUGGUCUAUAUGUCACGCAUUUCACCUACGAAGAGCUCAUGUUUUCUGCGUUUCCCGAAGCGCUACAACUUAAGACACUUGUCAAUACGCUUUUCAGCCCUUUCAGUAGAAAUUUGGCUCAAUGUAUAGGUCGAGGCGCCUAAUUUAUGAACUAGUCACAACCUAGCGCCUUAAAUUUUGAAUUUAAUGGCUAUAGCAUGCAGCUUUAAGUAUUUGGUAAAUUACCUACAGGAUAAGUCCUCUCGGAAGACACGUCCAGGACGUCACUAUCGUAGAAUUUUAAGUUGCUAUUAUCCGUUUGCCUUUUUACGGCACCUGCAACAACUUGCAAUAAUCGCAAGUUGAGCUGAAGAAACAAUAUUUCAAAAAAGACUUCAUCAGCACUCUCCACAACAAAGACCACGUCAUGCAGACGGCCGCAAAAUAUUUCAAUUACAGCAUUUCCAUAGCACCAGGCGCCGGAAGUGGAGGGAUUGACAAAUAAAAAAAAACUUGAGGGAUAUCACAGGUUGCUGUUCAUAACCAGCUAUCCUGUAAGACUGUAAAUCAAUGUGAUCCGCAGAAUCUUUCAAGAACAAUCAACCUAGCAAAUCAAAACAGGUAUUAUGUGAAUAUCAUUACACAAUAGUAGGUGCUAACGAAUUUUGGUCCCACUUUGAUGGCACAGCACUGAAUCAUGACGACUAGAAGUUCAUGCUUGAGACCACCGCUAAUUAGACGGGGCUUACCAAUGCUUUCAACGACAUGUCCGGAGUGGUGCAUAGGCCAUGCUCUAGAACGAGUGUUGAUCUAGAAGUUGAAGUCACCUGAUCGAAAAGGCUGCAAAUUCUAUUUCUAAUCCUUCCCCUUCCUAACCCAAGCUGAACAUGCCCUUGUCACAGCUGCUUAUGUCAGAUUCGAUUCUGUUCAAUUCAGACCAGCCAUAAAUCUGGUAGCAACUUGCCAUGGCUUACCAUUAAUCGCCCUAGACAAUCUCUGGAGAUUGCAGCUGGGAAUCGAGGCGCAAUGUUAAAAUGAACAGAGCUAGAGCGUGCGUUGCUUCCCCUCGCAAAUUGCAUAGACCUCGAGCCAGAUGAAUUAGGGCGGAUUGACAUUAUUACCGUUGACUACAUCGACAUAUUAGACACAUCCAUAAACAACUGCAGCAAUGUGAUAGCUGAGAACACAGAGUGAGGUCUUGUAAGAAUUAACACCACAGCUAUAGAAGUAUGAGAUGUGAUAUUCGAGGGGCAACCUUAUCUCCAGGGGAUUUUGAUUGCUUAUUUGUGUUGGGAGCCGUGAGCUGCCGAUUGUGAUGGAAUCGAUGUUGUCCCCGUCGUCCACUAUUGUGACCAUGGUUUUUUCGUUCACACGGGACAUUAGCUUUCGCAAUUUCGAGUUUCGAUGCAGUGCCCUGAGUUGUGAGCUGGCUCUCUCGAACUCUCUGCCCCUCGUUCCCCUCCAAGGUCAUCCAGCAUUCCUCAGCGAUUUUUUCAACUACUGUCUUCCCUUUUCAGAGCUUGCUACUUUGCUCUGCUCGCACCCGCCCCUCUCGUGCCUCCCGAUUAAAAGACAUAUCCUACAGAUAGAACACGUUUGGUAGCCACAUGUCUGUUGCGUCCGGGUGCACUGUUGUGCCCGCAACACUCGAAGAAGCCGCUUCUUUGCAGCGUCACACGAGACCUUGGAUUGUUUCGCAUUUCAAUUUCAAGUUCUCGACGCUGUACGCAGUGUCGCAGAACUACGUCAUCCUAUUGAGAGCUAGGGGAUAUAAACAAUAACAUGGCAGCUGUGAUGCACUCCACCAGAAUUGAUGUUUGUUUGAUUUGUGCUAAAGAUACUUCCCUUGCUUCAGCGUCUCGUGGGAGCUCUUAAGCGCACAUGGCUGAGGGGGGAGAGACUUCACUGUUGGUAACGUUUUGAAAACCAAAGCAAGCCGAGUUAGUAUUUUUCUUGAAGGUACUGCGUUUAUGGCGUCGUUGCUGCACUAAUGUCUAGCUGCAACAUGAGGUUAUUCCUUGGAACCAGCGACGAUUUUCUUCACAAAAUUUAGUUACGCUGGUAGACGUGUUUCAGGGUUGUGUUGGAUCUUCAUGUGAGCACUUUCAUAAGUAGAUAAGAAUGCAUUCCUUAAUAUAAAUACAAGCUUUAAAGACUUGACAACAUGGUAUGGGAGGUUCAUCUCACCACAAAGACCUUGGAUUUGAACUUGGGUGACAAUAAUAGAGUUAGUUUUGUCAUGUAUAUUAUUCAAAUAUAUUAAUACUGUCUUUAUGUACA
This is a non-coding RNA of Physcomitrium patens, 2418 nucleotides long. NCBI's taxonomy places the organism in Eukaryota, Viridiplantae, Streptophyta, Bryopsida, Funariales, Funariaceae. The record is from RefSeq and is a predicted model, not a curated record.